GACGGAGGAGGCAAGCGAUAUCCGGACUUAUUGGGCGUAAAGCGUCCGCAGGUGGCUUUCCAAGUCUGCUGUCAAAGCCCGAGGCUUAACCUCGGAUCGGCGGUGGAAACUGGAUCGCUAGAGUACGUCAGGGGUAGGGGGAAUUCCCGGUGUAGCGGUGAAAUGCGUAGAUAACGGGAAGAACACCAGCGACGAAAGUGACCUACUGGGACCUUACUGACACUCAUGGACGAAAGCUAGGGGAUCGAAAGGG
Molecule: ribosomal RNA, 253 nt
Filed under: uncultured bacterium
Lineage: Bacteria
Description: partial 16S ribosomal RNA
Rfam family: Bacterial small subunit ribosomal RNA
Source: RNAcentral